Molecule: transfer RNA, 72 nt
Organism: Ovis aries (sheep)
Lineage: Eukaryota; Metazoa; Chordata; Mammalia; Artiodactyla; Bovidae
Rfam family: tRNA
About the family: Transfer RNA (tRNA) molecules are approximately 80 nucleotides in length. Their secondary structure includes four short double-helical elements and three loops (D, anti-codon, and T loops).
Source: Rfam
UCCCUUGUGGCUCAGCUGGUAAAGAAUCUGCCUGUAAUGCAGAAGACCUAGGUUCAAUCCCUGGGUCAGGAA